GGUUUUAAUUUAAAUUUUAUUUCCCGCCACUUAAAGUUCAAAUCUCAACGGACGCCAUUGAGGAGAGUGAGGAGGAGGACAGCGCUUUUCACCACAGGACGGAGAAGACGAUAAUUAGCGAUUAUUUCUGCAAAAAGUUGUCCAUUCUUAUGUCGAAUACAAUCCUGAAUGAAAUUCUAACGUGUUUUAAGUAGUUUGGCGUCGAAAUCAACGUUUGGGAGAAUAUGAAGGAUAUCUGAAGAUUAUGCACCGCUCCGUCUUGUUGGAGAAGCAGCUUGUUGGGACGUCGAGGUGUCUGUUAAAAAUCCUGUGUGUAAUUGAGCGAUACAACAUAGGAGAUUCAUCUGGAGACCAUGAUAUAAUCACCGCAAUACAAGAUGAGGAAGACACGCAGUGAGUCUGGCGUAGCAGGAAAUAGAUACAACAAUGUGUGUGCCCUCACUCCUCGUUAGUAUAGUGAUUUAACAGCAUCAAUGAUUUGAAAAUCUCCAGCAAAAACCAAAACAUUUUGCCCCGUGUGAGGCUCGAACUCACGACCUUCAGAUUAUGAGACUGACGCGCUGCCUACUGCGCCAACGAGGCCUGAAGUCCAUGUGUGCAAGACCUCCUCAUGUUCCUGCUGGGGCGCAUCUGUCCCACCAAACUGGCUGGACAUUCCUGAUGGAGUUUAUCGCUGCUUUUGCACUCGCCGCCUGCAGACUGGAGGUGGACACCAUCACAGACGCACGCUUGGGACCAAUAAAGGCGUAACUAUGCUCUACAUAUAUCCCUCGCU
This is a long non-coding RNA of Carassius gibelio (silver crucian carp), 775 nucleotides long. RefSeq lists it as uncharacterized. The record is from RefSeq and is a predicted model, not a curated record. NCBI's taxonomy places the organism in Eukaryota, Metazoa, Chordata, Actinopteri, Cypriniformes, Cyprinidae. The transcript has 6 exons.